This 65-nucleotide transfer RNA is filed under the name Curculionoidea sp. 18 KM-2017. Its description in RNAcentral is "tRNA-Asn". Lineage: Eukaryota; Metazoa; Arthropoda; Insecta; Coleoptera. The record is from RNAcentral.
UUAAUUGAAACCAAAAUAGAGGUAUUUCACUGUUAAUGAUAUUAUUAAGAAAUUCUUCAAUUAAA